This is a long non-coding RNA of Pomacea canaliculata, 665 nucleotides long. RefSeq lists it as uncharacterized. The record is from RefSeq and is a predicted model, not a curated record. The transcript has 2 exons. NCBI's taxonomy places the organism in Eukaryota, Metazoa, Mollusca, Gastropoda, Architaenioglossa, Ampullariidae.
CAGCAAGCUAACAUGGCUGACGAUGGUACUACGAGUAAUCCAGAGAACUAUGACGGCCAAUAUAAUUUUUCAGAAACCAGACAAUCCAGUAGACUUCAUGAUUUCUGAAAUAACAGAGCUGAAACGAAGCAGGAAUAGUGCUACAUAAUAAUAAUAAUAAUAUGUAUGACAAAAAACCUCCUAUAUAAAUUGUUGUUUCUGAAUUGUUUGGCCAACCUAUGACCUUAUAUAUUUUCAGGUUAAAAGUAUACAUUACAGAUAAAUAUUUACUGGACUGUUAUGACAUGCGACAUCACUUAGAUACAAUUUCAGAAUCAUCAUUCUAAUUGUAAUUGAAAUGACAGUUUGUAACAUAAAUGUCAUUUCUUAAUAUUGUUGUAGCUGCAUAAACAAUAUAUAGUCUUUGGAAGAAACUGCUUUGGAUCAGUUCUCACAAAUUAUAAGGUAUUUUUUUUUUUGGCAGUAAAAUUUGUUAUGGAGUGCAGAUUUUAGUCAAUUUGGCAACAGACGGUAUGAUUUUUUUUUUUUUUGCAAAUAGAAGUUAUCAAUGUCUGUGAUAUAAUUUUGAUUUUAUAUAUGGUUGUUCUUGUAAUAUUGUAAUAAUAAUGAUUUUUGCUCUUGAGGUCUGAAGAUUCUGAACUCUCAUAAAGCUUUUCAAAUCCAAA